This 235-nucleotide ribosomal RNA is filed under the name uncultured bacterium. RNAcentral's name for it is "partial 16S ribosomal RNA". It matches the Rfam family "Bacterial small subunit ribosomal RNA", at positions 99 to 334 of the family's 1533-position model. The record is from RNAcentral.
CGGACGGGUGAGUAACGCGUGGGUAACCUGCCUCAUACAGGGGGAUAACGAUUGGAAACGAUUGCUAAUACCGCAUAAGCGCACAGUACCACAUGGUGCAGUGUGAAAAACUCCGGUGGUAUGAGAUGGACCCGCGUCUGAUUAGCUAGUUGGUGAGGUAACGGCCCACCAAGGCAACGAUCGGUAGCCGACCUGAGAGGGUGAUCGGCCACAUUGGAACUGAGAGACGGUCCAA